AACAUCACUUUAGGUUAAGGUAAGGGAUACUUUAUUAAGAUUAACAUCACUUUAGGUUGAGGUAAGGGUUACUUUAUUAAGGUUAACAUCACUUUAGGUUAAGGUAAGGGUUACUUUAUUAAGAUUAAUAUCAUCACUUUAGGUUAAGGUAAGGGAUACUUUAUUAAGGUUAAUAUCAAUUUAGGUUAAGGUAAGGGAUACUUUAUUAAGGUUAACAUCACUUUAGGUUAAGGUAAGGGAUACUUUAUUAAGGUUAACAUCACUUUAGGUUAAGGUAAGGGAUACUUUAUUAUGGUUAACAUCACUUUAGGUUAAGGUAAGGGUAACUUUAUUAAGGUUAACAUCACUUUAGGUUAAGGUAAGGGUAACUUUAUUAAGGUUAACAUCACUUUAGGUUAAGGU
This is a long non-coding RNA of Solea senegalensis (Senegalese sole), 402 nucleotides long. RefSeq lists it as uncharacterized. The transcript has 3 exons. NCBI's taxonomy places the organism in Eukaryota, Metazoa, Chordata, Actinopteri, Pleuronectiformes, Soleidae. The record is from RefSeq and is a predicted model, not a curated record.